This 77-nucleotide transfer RNA is filed under the name bacterium. RNAcentral's name for it is "tRNA-Gly". It matches the Rfam family "tRNA". From Rfam's summary of the family: Transfer RNA (tRNA) molecules are approximately 80 nucleotides in length. Their secondary structure includes four short double-helical elements and three loops (D, anti-codon, and T loops). The record is from RNAcentral. RNAcentral also lists the same sequence under 1 other name.
GCGGGAGUAGCUCAGUUGGCCAGAGCAUCAGCCUUCCAAGCUGAGGGUCGCGGGUUCGAGCCCCGUCUCCCGCUCCA